This 399-nucleotide ribosomal RNA is filed under the name Triticum aestivum (bread wheat). RNAcentral's name for it is "partial small subunit ribosomal RNA". The record is from RNAcentral. Lineage: Eukaryota; Viridiplantae; Streptophyta; Magnoliopsida; Poales; Poaceae.
AUGGACGUGCGCGGCGCUCAUGCCUCCCUGUGGCUUCUCUACAUCCACCCACUCAUCUCAUGCAGCCGUCGACGGGACGGUGGCAUAGCCGACGUCUCUUGCCGCCUUGGACACCAUGGACGCAGCGAGGCCGUGGGUGCCACACAUACUAUGGUGCUGCUAAUGGCUGCUCUGCUGUUGCUAAUGGCUGCUCCUGGUGUGUGUGUGAUAAUAGCGUGUAGUUGGGUUAUUGCUAAUGGCUAUUGUUGUUGUCAAAAGUUCUAUGUUUGUUGUUGUGUGCUGGACAAUGCUAUGCUGAUGAAUGUUAGAUGUGCUGAUGGUGCUAUCGUGUUCGUGUGGGAGAUAGUUGGUAUGCUAAGGAUUGUUAGAUCAAACACUUUUCUUUUGUGCAAUAUUUAG